This 323-nucleotide ribosomal RNA is filed under the name uncultured eukaryote. Its description in RNAcentral is "partial 18S ribosomal RNA". It matches the Rfam family "Eukaryotic small subunit ribosomal RNA", at positions 1470 to 1796 of the family's 1831-position model. The record is from RNAcentral.
CCCUUAGAUGUUCUGGGCUGCACGCGCGCUACACUGAAGCGUUCAACGAGUAUUCACCUUGCCCGGGAGGGUUGGGUAAUCUUUUGAAAACGCUUCGUGAUGGGGAUAGAUUAUUGCAAUUAUUAAUCUUCAACGAGGAAUUCCUAGUAAGCGCGAGUCAUCAGCUCGUGCUGAUUACGUCCCUGCCCUUUGUACACACCGCCCGUCGCUCCUACCGAUUGGAUGAUCCGGUGAGCUAUUCGGACCUUCGCUUCGUCGAUUUUCGGCUUUGUGAGGGAAAGUCUCGCGAACCUUAUCAUCUAGAGGAAGGAGAAGUCGUAACA